RNAcentral lists this long non-coding RNA (258 nucleotides) under Elaeis guineensis (African oil palm). RNAcentral's name for it is "long non-coding RNA (EGUI_LNC025889)". Lineage: Eukaryota; Viridiplantae; Streptophyta; Magnoliopsida; Arecales; Arecaceae. The record is from RNAcentral.
GGCCAUCAAAUGGCCGCUGAGGAUCCCCGUCGUUUCAAAGGGGGCCCAAGGAAGAAUUCCUUCAACAACAGGGGUUUAAUAACGGGGGCCGCCGGUAAAGGUAUUCUGCCCGAGAAUUUCGGAAUAGCAAGGCGGGGUGAUACCGGUCAAGAGGGCAGAGCUGUCGUCACAAGUUGUGGCAGGAUCCUUGAUGUCGACGGGGCCGAGGGACCAGAAGCGGUCGACGUCGAUGGUGGGGCAGUAAAAUUUAUUGCGGGG